UACGUGGGGUGCAAGCGUUGUCCGGAAUUAUUGGGCGUAAAGAGCUCGUAGGCGGUUUGUUGCGUCGGCUGUGAAAUCCCGAGGCUCAACCUCGGGUCUGCAGUCGAUACGAGCAAACUAGAGUGUUGCAGGGGAGACUGGAAUUCCUGGUGUAGCGGUGAAAUGCGCAGAUAUCAGGAGGAACACCGGUGGCGAAGGCGGGUCUCUGGGCCGAUACUGACGCUGAGGAGCGAAAGCGUGGGGAGCGAACAGG
RNAcentral lists this ribosomal RNA (253 nucleotides) under uncultured bacterium. RNAcentral's name for it is "partial 16S ribosomal RNA". It matches the Rfam family "Bacterial small subunit ribosomal RNA", at positions 524 to 776 of the family's 1533-position model. The record is from RNAcentral.